This 408-nucleotide ribosomal RNA is filed under the name uncultured bacterium. RNAcentral describes it as "partial 16S ribosomal RNA". It matches the Rfam family "Bacterial small subunit ribosomal RNA", at positions 29 to 526 of the family's 1533-position model. The record is from RNAcentral.
AGUGAACGCUGGCGGCGUGCCUAAUACAUGCAAGUCGAACGGAGUGGCGCACGGGUGAGUAAUGUAUAGCUAAUCUGCCCUACACUAGAGGACAACAGUUGGAAACGACUGCUAAUACUCUAAAGUGUAGGAUGUGGCUAUAUUGUAUCAGCUAGUUGGUGAGGAAAUGGCUCACCAAGGCUAUGACGCAUAACUGGUCUGAGAGGAUGAUCAGUCGAACUGGAACUGAGACACGGUCCAGGCUCCUACGGGAGGCAGCGGAAGGGUAUAAUACUCAAUGGGGGAAACCCUGAAACAGCAACGGCGCGUGAAGGAUGAUACUUUUCGGAGCGUAAGCUCCUUUUGAUAGGGAAGCGGUACCUACCGAAUAAGCACCGGCUAACUCCGUGCCAGCAGCCGCGGUAAUAC